CUGAGUACGGCGGAACACGUGAAAUUCCGUCGGAAUCCGGGAGGACCAUCUCCCAAGGCUAAAUACUCCCUAGUGACCGAUAGUGAACCAGUACCGUGAGGGAAAGGUGAAAAGCACCCCGGAAGGGGAGUGAAACAGUUCCUGAAACCGUGUGCCUACAAGUAGUUAGAGCCCGUUAAUGGGUGAUAGCGUGCCUUUUGUAGAAUGAACCGGCGAGUUACGAUUUGUUGCAAGGUUAAGCGGAAAAAGCGGAGCCGUAGCGAAAGCGAGUCUGAAUAGGGCGCAUAAGUAACAGGUCGUAGACCCGAAACCAGGUGAUCUACCCAUGUCCAGGAUGAAGGUAAGGUAAUACUUACUGGAGGUCCGAACCCACGCACGUUGAAAAGUGCGGGGAUGAGGUGUGGGUAGCGGAGAAAUUCCAAUCGAACUUGGAGAUAGCUGGUUCUCUCCGAAAUAGCUUUAGGGCUAGCCUCGAGGUAAAGAGUCAUGGAGGUAGAGCACUGUUUGGACUAGGGGCCCUUCUCGGGUUACCGAAUUC
This 538-nucleotide ribosomal RNA is filed under the name Listeria monocytogenes. Its description in RNAcentral is "partial 23S ribosomal RNA". It matches the Rfam family "Bacterial large subunit ribosomal RNA", at positions 408 to 946 of the family's 2925-position model. The record is from RNAcentral. Lineage: Bacteria; Bacillati; Bacillota; Bacilli; Caryophanales; Listeriaceae.